RNAcentral lists this ribosomal RNA (254 nucleotides) under uncultured bacterium. RNAcentral describes it as "partial 16S ribosomal RNA". It matches the Rfam family "Bacterial small subunit ribosomal RNA", at positions 524 to 776 of the family's 1533-position model. The record is from RNAcentral.
UACGUAGGGGCCAAGCGUUGUCCGGAUUUAUUGGGCGUAAAGAGCUCGUAGGCGGUUCGGCAAGUCGAAUGUGAAAUCUCCACGCUCAACGUGGAGGGGUCAUUCGAAACUGCCGUGACUCGAGUCCGGUAGGGGAGUGUGGAAUUCCCGGUGUAGCGGUGAAAUGCGCAGAGAUCGGGAGGAACACCCGUAGCGAAGGCGGCACUCUGGGCCGUGACUGACGCUGAGGAGCGAAAGCGUGUGGAGCAAACAGG